GGCCAGCAUAGGUUUCUAGUNCAGGAGAAGGGGUUCUGGAAUAUGGCUCCUCGGAGUGUUAUAGCACAGAGCANNAUGCUGCGUGUGGGGACNNAGGACUGCGGNUUUUUGUCACUGGAUGCUGGCAUAAU
Molecule: ribosomal RNA, 131 nt
Filed under: Pichia scutulata
Lineage: Eukaryota; Fungi; Ascomycota; Pichiomycetes; Pichiales; Pichiaceae
Description: partial 26S rRNA
Source: RNAcentral